GAUCCUGGCUCAGGAUGAACGCUGGCGGCGUGCUUAACACAUGCAAGUCGAGCGAAGCACUUAAGUUUGAUUCUUCGGAUGAAGACUUUUUGUGACUGAGCGGGCGGACGGGGUGAAGGUAACGCGUGGGUAACCUGCCUCAUACAGGGGGAUAACAGUUAGAAAUGACUGCUAAUACCGCAUAAGACCACGGUACCGCAUGGUACAGUGGUAAAAACUCCGGUGGUAUGAGAUGGACCCGCGU
RNAcentral lists this ribosomal RNA (244 nucleotides) under uncultured bacterium. RNAcentral describes it as "partial 16S ribosomal RNA". It matches the Rfam family "Bacterial small subunit ribosomal RNA", at positions 15 to 236 of the family's 1533-position model. The record is from RNAcentral.